GUGAGUCAUCGAAUCUUUGAACGCAUAUUGCGCCCUUUGGUAUUCCGAAGGGCAUGCCUGUUCGAGCGUCAUUAUCACCCCUCAAGCCCCCGGGCUUUGGUGUUGGACGGUUUGGUCUUGGGUGACGAGACCCCUCCUAAAAUUAACGACGGCGGCCUGUGCGACCCCCGGUACACUGAGCUUCUUAACUGAGCACGUAUCGGCCUAGACAGGACCCGGUCUUCUUCCUUAACCGGAAAAUCUCUCUCAAGGUUGACCUCGGAUCAGGUAGGGAUACCCGCUGAACUUAAGCAUAUCAAUAAGCGGAGGA
RNAcentral lists this unclassified non-coding RNA (310 nucleotides) under Herpotrichiellaceae sp. RNAcentral describes it as "partial contains 5.8S ribosomal RNA, internal transcribed spacer 2, and large subunit ribosomal RNA". The stretch from base 1 to 71 matches the Rfam family "5.8S ribosomal RNA", at positions 84 to 154 of the family's 154-position model. The record is from RNAcentral. Lineage: Eukaryota; Fungi; Ascomycota; Eurotiomycetes; Chaetothyriales; Herpotrichiellaceae.